RNAcentral lists this ribosomal RNA (573 nucleotides) under uncultured Glomeromycotina. Its description in RNAcentral is "SSU rRNA". It matches the Rfam family "Eukaryotic small subunit ribosomal RNA", at positions 548 to 1114 of the family's 1831-position model. The record is from RNAcentral. Lineage: Eukaryota; Fungi; Glomeromycota.
UUGGAGGGCAAGUCUGGUGCCAGCAGCCGCGGUAAUCCCAGCUCCAAUAGCGUAUAUUAAAGUUGUUGCAGUUAAAAAGCUCGUAGUUGAAUUUCGGGAUUGGCGCAUCGGUCGUGCCUCACGGGGUUAUGAACUGGUGCAGUCAAUUUCUCACCUUCUGGAGAACCGCGAUGUCCUUAAUUGGAUGCCGCGGGGAACCGGGACCUUUACUUUGAAAAAAUUAGAGUGUUUAAAGCAGGCAUUUUUGCUUGAAUACAUUAGCAUGGAAUAAUAAAAUAGGACGGCAUGGUUCUAUUUUGUUGGUUUCUAGGACCACCGUAAUGAUUAAUAGGGAUAGUUGGGGGCAUUAGUAUUCAAUCGUCAGAGGUGAAAUUCUUGGAUUUAUUGAAGACUAACUACUGCGAAAGCAUUUGCCAAGGAUGUUUUCAUUAAUCAAGAACGAAAGUUAGGGGAUCGAAGACGAUCAGAUACCGCCGUAGUCUUAACCAUAAACUAUGCCGACUAGGAAUCAGACGAUGUUAAUUUUUUAAUGACUCGUUUGGCACCUUACGGGAAACCAAAGUGUUUGGGUUC